Molecule: non-coding RNA, 240 nt
Organism: Vicia faba (fava bean)
Lineage: Eukaryota; Viridiplantae; Streptophyta; Magnoliopsida; Fabales; Fabaceae
Source: the annotation of a GenBank genome assembly
AUGAAUCUUGGGUUGUGUAAGAUCAAGUUCUGUUCAUUGAUCUUAUUUCGGUAUUACCUAGAGUCCUAUCAUGCAAAUAUGUGCUUAAGUGUGGGACAAAAUUCAAGGUAUUUCAAUGCAUAUGUGAAGGCGGGAGUUAGACAGUUGCUAGUUGAGUUGAAAUCAAUGAAGAAAGCAAUCGCGGUUGUUGAUUUCAUUUAUAUCAACUUAAAUAAGAAAAUAGUUAUCUAUGUUAUUUGA